RNAcentral lists this ribosomal RNA (1540 nucleotides) under Klebsiella pneumoniae. Its description in RNAcentral is "bacterial SSU rRNA". It matches the Rfam family "Bacterial small subunit ribosomal RNA". Lineage: Bacteria; Pseudomonadati; Pseudomonadota; Gammaproteobacteria; Enterobacterales; Enterobacteriaceae. The record is from RNAcentral.
AAAUUGAAGAGUUUGAUCAUGGCUCAGAUUGAACGCUGGCGGCAGGCCUAACACAUGCAAGUCGAGCGGUAGCACAGAGAGCUUGCUCUCGGGUGACGAGCGGCGGACGGGUGAGUAAUGUCUGGGAAACUGCCUGAUGGAGGGGGAUAACUACUGGAAACGGUAGCUAAUACCGCAUAACGUCGCAAGACCAAAGUGGGGGACCUUCGGGCCUCAUGCCAUCAGAUGUGCCCAGAUGGGAUUAGCUAGUAGGUGGGGUAACGGCUCACCUAGGCGACGAUCCCUAGCUGGUCUGAGAGGAUGACCAGCCACACUGGAACUGAGACACGGUCCAGACUCCUACGGGAGGCAGCAGUGGGGAAUAUUGCACAAUGGGCGCAAGCCUGAUGCAGCCAUGCCGCGUGUGUGAAGAAGGCCUUCGGGUUGUAAAGCACUUUCAGCGGGGAGGAAGGCGGUGAGGUUAAUAACCUCAUCGAUUGACGUUACCCGCAGAAGAAGCACCGGCUAACUCCGUGCCAGCAGCCGCGGUAAUACGGAGGGUGCAAGCGUUAAUCGGAAUUACUGGGCGUAAAGCGCACGCAGGCGGUCUGUCAAGUCGGAUGUGAAAUCCCCGGGCUCAACCUGGGAACUGCAUUCGAAACUGGCAGGCUAGAGUCUUGUAGAGGGGGGUAGAAUUCCAGGUGUAGCGGUGAAAUGCGUAGAGAUCUGGAGGAAUACCGGUGGCGAAGGCGGCCCCCUGGACAAAGACUGACGCUCAGGUGCGAAAGCGUGGGGAGCAAACAGGAUUAGAUACCCUGGUAGUCCACGCCGUAAACGAUGUCGAUUUGGAGGUUGUGCCCUUGAGGCGUGGCUUCCGGAGCUAACGCGUUAAAUCGACCGCCUGGGGAGUACGGCCGCAAGGUUAAAACUCAAAUGAAUUGACGGGGGCCCGCACAAGCGGUGGAGCAUGUGGUUUAAUUCGAUGCAACGCGAAGAACCUUACCUGGUCUUGACAUCCACAGAACUUAGCAGAGAUGCUUUGGUGCCUUCGGGAACUGUGAGACAGGUGCUGCAUGGCUGUCGUCAGCUCGUGUUGUGAAAUGUUGGGUUAAGUCCCGCAACGAGCGCAACCCUUAUCCUUUGUUGCCAGCGGUCAGGCCGGGAACUCAAAGGAGACUGCCAGUGAUAAACUGGAGGAAGGUGGGGAUGACGUCAAGUCAUCAUGGCCCUUACGACCAGGGCUACACACGUGCUACAAUGGCAUAUACAAAGAGAAGCGACCUCGCGAGAGCAAGCGGACCUCAUAAAGUAUGUCGUAGUCCGGAUUGGAGUCUGCAACUCGACUCCAUGAAGUCGGAAUCGCUAGUAAUCGUAGAUCAGAAUGCUACGGUGAAUACGUUCCCGGGCCUUGUACACACCGCCCGUCACACCAUGGGAGUGGGUUGCAAAAGAAGUAGGUAGCUUAACCUUCGGGAGGGCGCUUACCACUUUGUGAUUCAUGACUGGGGUGAAGUCGUAACAAGGUAACCGUAGGGGAACCUGCGGUUGGAUCACCUCCUUA